Molecule: ribosomal RNA, 1418 nt
Filed under: Triticum aestivum (bread wheat)
Lineage: Eukaryota; Viridiplantae; Streptophyta; Magnoliopsida; Poales; Poaceae
Description: partial small subunit ribosomal RNA
Source: RNAcentral
CCCACUCCCCGGCGAGCUGCCCCAUCCCGAGCGCCGCCAGUCUCCCCCAACCUCCGGUGCCUCCCGGAUCCGCCACCUCCACGCGGUGGCCAGCUCCUCCGCCAGAUCGCGCCACGCGCAGCCGUACCCACCGUCCCGCCGGCGCCAGCGGCCCGACCCAGGUGGCGCUUCGACGGACCUCCUCCCGGCGAGGCCCGACGCCAACGCCGGGGAUCUCCAGGAGCGGUCGUCCCCUGCUGCGGAUCGCGCCGCCGCCGUCCCCAGCGCUUCUAUACAACCUUCGCCGACCGCCGCCACCAAUCUUCAGAUGCGCCGCCCCGGCAGAUCCGACGCGUCUCCUUGACCUCCCAGGCGAUGCCACCGGCAAAGCUAGGUUGGGGCCAUCCAUCUCCUCUCGCCCCCCGGCAAGGCUCCCCCGUGACCACGCAGCCAAGCUGCCGCAUCAAACUGGCCGUUCAACACCGCCGUCUUGGGACGUUCAAUGACGUGGCCCCAGGACGUUCGCUGUCGCAGCGCACGGAUCACACUGUCACCAUGCUUCAUGAGGCCGAGAUAUUUCCAUUCUUCAUUCGUCGAUUUCGGAUUGAACUGAGAAGUCAGGUUCGCAAGUGUCAUGUUUGGCUGUUCGCCGCAGCAGCCCGGAGGUGCUCAUGUAGCCGACCAAGAACAGGGCUGGGACAGGGAUAUUUUUGUUCUCAAACACGUCGCUGCGAAUGGUCUGGGUGGACGAGCUAGCCUGAGGCUUGGUCUUGCUCGCCGGCGUUGGGCGCAGUUCGGCUGGAAAGAAGAAGGAGCUCCAUCCAGCCUAUGAAGUUUAGCUGGUGAGCAUGUGCAGUCCGACGGCGCGUGUGUGCUUGUGUCCGGUUCACGGGCGUACUGUGUGUGGUGCUUGCGUGCACACGGCAGCCACAUGUUGUAUGAGGAGAAGCCAAGCUAAAAAGAAGAACACACUACGCAAGACAGGCACAGAGAGGUUCAGGGCUUCAGGCAAUGUGAUGGUGCAGCCGCUGCAGCAUCAACUACAACAGCGCGGCGCUCCUGGUGCUCCUCUCCCUCUGCUGCUUUGCAUGCUGCGAUGCCACCGCCUCCUCACUGUACGAAAAGGUUUGAGUGGGGAAAAAUUGCAGCUCAUGAAUGAACCUGGAGAAGUUCUAAUGCGAUGGUGCUAUUCUCUGCAGUUAUUUGUUUCUCGUGAAUGCAUUUGGUUGUGGCUGAUGGAUCUCUAUAUUCAUAUAUUAUUUGCUUUAUUUUGGUGUGACUUGCACCCAGCUCUCUCUAUUCUUUUUUUAAUCAACUCACUUAUGGACGUACUGAGUAAUUCGUGCGACUUUGCUGCAUCUUGUUUCGGUCUGCAGCCCAGCACUGAUUCUUCAGUCUGAUUUGAAUGUCAGCUGAAUCCAUUUAUUAAGUUACAACCU